GGGGAAUAUUGGGCAAUGGGCGCAAGCCUGACCCAGCAACGCCGCGUGAAGGAAGAAGGCUUUCGGGUUGUAAACUUCUUUUGUCAGGGACGAAGCAAGUGACGGUACCUGACGAAUAAGCCACGGCUAACUACGUGCCAGCAGCCGCGGUAAUACGUAGGUGGCAAGCGUUAUCCGGAUUUACUGGGUGUAAAGGGCGUGUAGGCGGGGAAGCAAGUCAGAUGUGAAAACCACGGGCUCAACCUGUGGCCUGCAUUUGAAACUGUUUUUCUUGAGUGCUGGAGAGGCAAUCGGAAUUCCGUGUGUAGCGGUGAAAUGCGUAGAUAUACGGAGGAACACCAGUGGCGAAGGCGGAUUGCUGGACAGUAACUGACGCUGAGGCGCGAAAGCGUGGGGAGCAAACAGG
RNAcentral lists this ribosomal RNA (406 nucleotides) under uncultured bacterium. RNAcentral describes it as "bacterial SSU rRNA". It matches the Rfam family "Bacterial small subunit ribosomal RNA", at positions 356 to 776 of the family's 1533-position model. The record is from RNAcentral.